This is an unclassified non-coding RNA of Panthera pardus (leopard), 296 nucleotides long. Its record names the gene 7SK. It matches the Rfam family "7SK RNA". From Rfam's summary of the family: 7SK was discovered as an abundant small nuclear RNA in the mid-70s but a possible function has only recently been suggested. NCBI's taxonomy places the organism in Eukaryota, Metazoa, Chordata, Mammalia, Carnivora, Felidae. The record is from Ensembl.
GAAUGUAAACACAAUCUGGCUGCAACAUCUGUCACCCCAUUGAUCACCAGGGUUGAUUUGGAUGAUCUGGCUGGAUAGGUGGGAAUCCGCUUCCUCCCUCACCACUCCAAGUGCACCCCUCCCAAAGCUACACGCUCAUUCAAAGAGGACAACCUUCUCCAAUAGAGGAGGACCGCUCUUAGGUCAAUGGUAUAUGAAUAGCUGUGCUCCCCUGCUAGAACCUUCAAACAAGGUCUCAAGAAAUGAGCUAUCAAGCUAUGAAAAGAUAUGGAUGAAACUUAAAAGCAUACUCCUAA